Molecule: ribosomal RNA, 388 nt
Filed under: uncultured bacterium
Lineage: Bacteria
Description: bacterial SSU rRNA
Rfam family: Bacterial small subunit ribosomal RNA
Source: RNAcentral
GGCGAACGCUGGCGGCGUGCUUAACACAUGCAAGUCGAGCGGUAAGGCCCUUUCGGGGGUACACGAGCGGCGAACGGGUGAGUAACACGUGGGUGACCUGCCCUCGGCUCUGGGAUAAGCCUGGGAAACCGGGUCUAAUACUGGAUAUGACUCCAUGACGCAUGUUGUGGGGUGGAAAGCCUUGUGCGGCUGAGGAUGGGCCCGCGGCCUAUCAGCUUGUUGGUGGGGUGAUGGCCUACCAAGGCGACGACGGGUAGCCGGCCUGAGAGGGCGACCGGCCACACUGGGACUGAGACACGGCCCAGACUCCUACGGGAGGCAGCAGUGGGGAAUCUUGCGCAAUGGGCGAAAGCCUGACGCAGCGACGCCGCGUGAGGGAUGACGGCCU